GCUGUGCGAAUCAAUUUCUAAUCCUUGCUACAGCUUGCUACUUUAUUUUCUUUAUUUUAAUUUUAUUUGUUUUCUUUAUUAGUUCUCUUUAAUAUUUUGUACUUGAAUUUAGAUUCUAAUUAAUGCAAAAGUAAUUUUAUUCUCUUUAAAUUUUUUGAUUUUUAUUUUAAUUGUAAGUAGAAACUAGGAUCUAGUUAGUAGAUCC
This 205-nucleotide long non-coding RNA is filed under the name Elaeis guineensis (African oil palm). Its description in RNAcentral is "long non-coding RNA (EGUI_LNC057298)". Lineage: Eukaryota; Viridiplantae; Streptophyta; Magnoliopsida; Arecales; Arecaceae. The record is from RNAcentral.